RNAcentral lists this ribosomal RNA (400 nucleotides) under uncultured bacterium. RNAcentral describes it as "partial 16S ribosomal RNA". It matches the Rfam family "Bacterial small subunit ribosomal RNA", at positions 355 to 767 of the family's 1533-position model. The record is from RNAcentral.
UGGGGAAUAUUGCACAAUGGCGAAAGCCUGAUGCAGCGACGCCGCGUGAGGGAUGACGGCCUUCGGGUUGUAAACCUCUUUCAGCAGGGAAGAAGCGAAAGUGACGGUACCUGCAGAAGAAGCGCCGGCUAACUACGUGCCAGCAGCCGCGGUAAUACGUAGGGCGCAAGCGUUGUCCGGAAUUAUUGGGCGUAAAGAGCUCGUAGGCGGUUAGUCGCGUCUGCUGUGAAAACUCGAGGCUCAACCUCGGGCUUGCAGUGGGUACGGGCUGACUAGAGUGCGGUAGGGGUGACUGGAAUUCCUGGUGUAGCGGUGGAAUGCGCAGAUAUCCAGGAGGAACACCGAUGGCGAAGGCAGGUCACUGGGCCGCAACUGACGCUGAGGAGCGAAAGCAUGGGGA